Molecule: ribosomal RNA, 403 nt
Filed under: uncultured bacterium
Lineage: Bacteria
Description: partial 16S ribosomal RNA
Rfam family: Bacterial small subunit ribosomal RNA
Source: RNAcentral
AUUGAACGCUGGCGGCAGGCCUAACACAUGCAAGUCGAGCGAGAGGCGGACGGGUGUGAAAUGUAAGGGGACUGCCCGAUAGAGGGGGAUAACUACUGGAAACGGGAGAUAAUACCGCAUACUAUCGGAAAACCCAUAUGGGAUUAGAUAGUAGGUGAGGUAAUGGCUCACCUAGGCGACGAUCCCUAGCUGGUCUGAGAGUAUGAUCAGCCACACUGGUACUGAGACACGGCCCAGACUCCUACGGAGGCAGCAGUGGGGAAUAUUGCACAAUGGGCGCAAGCCUGAUGCAGCCAUGCCGCGUGGGUGAAGAAGGCCCUAGGGUUGUAAAGUACUUUCAGUCGGGAGGCGUUACCGACAGAAGAAGCACCGGCUAACUCCGUGCCAGCAGCCGCGGUAAUUC